UGUCGUCCAUCCGAUCCUCCUGAUCCCCUACUCCUUUUCUCUUCUUACCGGUCGUUCUCUCUCUCCCGAAUCCCCUCUCCGUCUCUCCCUGUCUCUCCCAUUCUCCUCAAGAUUGACCUCCAAAAUCAGCCGCUAGGGCUGUGGAGCAGCCGAGCAGGGCGCAACCUUGGCCUCCAAAAUCAGCCGGCGGAGGGGCGGAAUAGUGCGCGGGCGGAGGGGCGGAGCCGGCCCGGGCAGCGGGGGCGGAGGAGUGCGCGGGCGGGCGGCGGAGCACGGCGCGGGCCGCGGGGGCGGAGGAGUGCGCGGGCAGGCGGCGGAGGAGUGUGCGGACGGGCGGCGGAGCACGGCGCGGCCGGAGUGGCGGAGGAGAAGGGCGCAGGCGCGGCGCAGGGGCGGAGCAGGUGCGGGCUGUGGCUGUGGAGCACGGCACGGCUGCAGCGGCAGCAGAGAAGGCAGUGGAGGAUUCUCGCGAGAGCAAGACGAGGUGGCCUACCGCCGCCGCCGCCAUCUCCGCCCCUUCGCAGCGUGUUCGGCCUCAGGCCCGCCAAGGUUGUGCCUUAAUCUGGCGUCGCACAAGCGCGUGCAGGGCAAGGACCGGCGGUCGGUGCCUCCUCGGCCUGGCGGCCUUCUUCGCCAUCAUGGACGCCUCGGGGUCAGCUAAGGCACUCUCGUCUGCACUGCACCCUCCUCAUCCGCCAUCUCCCCCAAAGCUGGGUCCCCUUGUUGUCCGGCAAGCCAUUUUGAUCUGAAAUCGUCAUGAUGUUGAGGUCAAUACAAGCUAGGCAUCAGUGGCCAAUCAAUGACUCUAGGAGGCAAGCUAGAUUGACAACCUUGACAACAUGGUAGUGGAGGUGAUUGAGAUGAAGAAGAUUUUUGUGGCAACAAAGAGUUCAAAGCCGUUUGCCUCCACAAACAUGCUCAUUUGUAAACUUGUAAAUUCGACCUCAUGAUGUCUGAUAAAGUGGUGCUUCAAUUUUUAGCUUUAAAGGCUAAAUUUUUUACGGAUUUGGAACUUGGAAGACGCUAUUGUGGUUUUGUUAGAGGUAGCGAUAGUGUUGUUGUUGUAUAGAUGUGUGUGUAACUAUACGAUGUAUGAAUUUCUGCUUCUAUGUUUCUUGUUGGAAAAAAUGGACCAGUUGAAAAAUAAA
This is a long non-coding RNA of Brachypodium distachyon (stiff brome), 1148 nucleotides long. RefSeq lists it as uncharacterized. NCBI's taxonomy places the organism in Eukaryota, Viridiplantae, Streptophyta, Magnoliopsida, Poales, Poaceae. The record is from RefSeq and is a predicted model, not a curated record. The transcript has 4 exons.